GAUGAACGCUGGCGGCGUGCAUAACACAUUCAAGUCGAACGGGUUAAGAUCUUUCGGGAGCUUAACUAGUGGCGGACGGGUGAGUAACACGUGAGCAACUUGCCUACCUGAGUGGAAUAACACAGAGAAAUUUGUGCUAAUACCGCAUGACAUAUCGAAGCGGCAUCGCUUUGAUAUCAAAGAUUUAUCGCAGGUAGAUAGGCUCGCGUUCCGAUUAGGCAGUUGGUGAGGUAACGGCUCACCAAACCGACGAUCGGUAGCCGGACUGAGAGGUUGAACGGCCACAUUGGAACUGAGAAACGGUCCAGACUCCUACGGGAGGCAGCAGUGGGGAAUAUUGGGCAAUGGGCGAAAGCCUGACCCAGCGACGCCGCGUGAGGGAAGAAGGUCUUCGGAUUGUAAACCUUUGUUGAAGGGGAAGAAGAAAGUGACGGUACCCUUCGAGGAAGCCACGGCUAACUACGUAG
RNAcentral lists this ribosomal RNA (467 nucleotides) under uncultured bacterium. RNAcentral's name for it is "bacterial SSU rRNA". It matches the Rfam family "Bacterial small subunit ribosomal RNA", at positions 28 to 508 of the family's 1533-position model. The record is from RNAcentral.